This 117-nucleotide non-coding RNA is filed under the name Megaselia scalaris. RNAcentral's name for it is "U4atac minor spliceosomal RNA". It matches the Rfam family "U4atac minor spliceosomal RNA". From Rfam's summary of the family: U4atac is an essential component of the minor U12-type spliceosome complex which is required for removal of the rarer class of eukaryotic introns (AT-AC, U12-type). These interacting stem loops have been shown to be required for in vivo splicing. U4atac also contains an 3' Sm protein binding site which has been shown to be essential for splicing activity. Lineage: Eukaryota; Metazoa; Arthropoda; Insecta; Diptera; Phoridae. The record is from Rfam by way of RNAcentral.
UCAAUCCUUGUCUUGGGGAGCAUAGUAUUCUAUGAAGUUGAACUGAGAAUAUUUUGCUGACACCAAAUUUUAAAAACAACCCCCUUUUCAAUUACUGAACUGGGAAUUUUUGUACGA